RNAcentral lists this ribosomal RNA (447 nucleotides) under uncultured bacterium. Its description in RNAcentral is "bacterial SSU rRNA". It matches the Rfam family "Bacterial small subunit ribosomal RNA", at positions 28 to 456 of the family's 1533-position model. The record is from RNAcentral.
GAUGAACGCUGGCGGCGUGCCUAACACAUGCAAGUCGAACGGAGUUAUUUUGGAAAUCUCUUCGGAGAUGGAAUCUUUAACUUAGUGGCGGACGGGUGAGUAACGCGUGAGCAAUCUGCCUUUAAGAGGGGGAUAACAGUCGGAAACGGCUGCUAAUACCGCAUAAAGCAUCAAAUUCGCAUGUUUUUGAUGCCAAAGGAGCAAUCCGCUUUUAGAUGAGCUCGCGUCUGAUUAGCUAGUUGGCGGGGUAACGGCCCACCAAGGCGACGAUCAGUAGCCGGACUGAGAGGUUGAACGGCCACAUUGGGACUGAGACACGGCCCAGACUCCUACGGGAGGCAGCAGUGGGGAAUAUUGCGCAAUGGGGGAAACCCUGACGCAGCAACGCCGCGUGAUUGAAGAAGGCCUUCGGGUUGUAAAGAUCUUUAAUCAGGGACGAAACAAAUG